GGAUAAGUUACUAAGGGCGUAUGGAGGAUGCCUAGGCUCUUGAAGGCGAUGAAGGACGUGUUAAGCUGCGAUAAGCUUCGAGGAGGUGCCAAAAAACCGCUAUAGUCGAAGAUUUCCGAAUGGGAAAACCCACCCGAUUUAUCGGGUCUAAAUUGGCCAACCCGCUGAACUGAAACAUCUAAGUAAGCGGAGGAAAAGAAAAUAAAUAAUGAUUCCCCAAGUAGUGGCGAGCGAACGGGGAAAAGCCCAAACCAUAUAUGUUAAGGCAUAUACGGGGUUGUAGGACUACAAUAUCUAUAUAAAAAUAAAUGCGAAGCUUCUGAAAAGUUGCUCCAUAGAAGGUGAUAGACCUGUAGCAGUAAGUUUUUAUAUCGUAGUAGUAUCCUGAGUAGCGCGGGACCGGAGAAAUCCUGCGUGAAUCUGCCGGCACCAUCCGGUAAGGCUAAAUACUCUCAAGAGACCGAUAGUGAACAAGUACCGUGAGGGAAAGGUGAAAAGAACCUUGAAUAAAGGAGUGAAAUAGUACCUGAAACCAUACGCUUACAAGCGGUCAGAGCCAGUUUUCUGGUGAUGGCGUGCCUUUUGCAUAAUGAGCCUACGAGUUACUCCUCUCUGGCAAGAUUAAAUCGCUAAGCGAUGUAGUCGAAGCGAAAGCAAGUCUGAAUAGGGCGUACAGUCAGAGGGGGUAGACGCGAAACUUUGUGAUCUACCCAUGGUCAGGAUGAAGUGACGGUAACACGUCAUGGAGGUCCGAACCGGUAAACGUUGAAAAGUUUUCGGAUGAACUGUGGGUAGGGGUGAAAGGCUAAUCAAACUGAGAGAUAGCUCGUACUCCCCGAAAUGUUUUUAGGAACAGCCUCAAGAAUAGUAUAUAAGAGGUAGAGCUACUGGUUGGGCAAGGGGGUGUCAAAGCCUACCGAACUCAAAUAAACUCCGAAUACUUAUAUAUGAUACUUGGGAGUGAGGGCUUGGGUGCUAAGGUCCAAGUCCGAGAGGGAAAGAACCCAGAUUAUCAGCUAAGGUCCCCAAGUUUAUACUAAGUUGAACUAAUGUGGUCCAUUCGCACUGACAGCUAGGAUGUUUGCUUGGAAGCAGCAAUUCAUUUAAAGAGUGCGUAACAGCUCACUAGUCGAGCGGAUGGGUACAAAUAAUAAACGGGCAUUAAGUAUAGCACCGAAGCUAUAAAUUCCACGUAAGUGGUCUGGUAGGGGAGCAUUCUGCAUGCGAUGAAGAGAUUUCGUAAGAAUCAUUGGAGCGUGUAGAAAAGCAAAUGUAGGCAUAAGUAACGAUAAUAAAGGUGAAAAACCUUUACUUCGAUAGACUAAGGUUUCCUGAUCAACGAUAAUCGUAUCAGGGUUAGUCGGGACCUAAGGCGAACCGAUUCAGGGUAGUCGAUGGACAACAGGUUAAUAUUCCUGUACUAGUGGUGAGGGACGGAGAAAUGUAGCAAUCAAAGCGGACGGAAGUGCGAAGCCUAACCUUCGGGUGAAGCGCGAUUGUGAAAAUUCUUCCAAGAAAAGCUCCCACAUAAACCCGUACCGCAAACCGACACAGGUAGUCAAGAUGAGUAUUCUAAGAAGCUCGAGUGAUCCAUGGUUAAGGAACUAGGCAAAUUAACCCUGUAACUUCGGGAUAAGGGGUACCUUAUUAAUUUAAGGUCACAGUAAAAUGGCGCAGGCGACUGUUUAUCAAAAACACAUGGCUCUGCUAAAACGAAAGUUGACGUAUAGGGUCUGACACCUGCCCGGUGCCGGAAGGUUAAGAGGGGAGGUUAGCGCAAGCGAAGCUUUGAAUCGAAGCCCCGGUAAACGGCGGCCGUAACUAUAACGGUCCUAAGGUAGCGAAAUUCCUUGUCGGGUAAGUUCCGACCUGCACGAAUGGUGUAACGAUCUGCGCACUGUCUCAACCAUGAGCUCGGUGAAAUUGUAGUCUCGGUGAAGAUGCCGGGUACCCGCAACGGGACGGAAAGACCCUAUGCACCUUUACUAUAGCUUUACAUUGAGUUUGGGCAAAUAAUGUGUAGGAUAGGCGGGAGACUUUGAAGCGGUAACGCUAGUUAUCGUGGAGUCAACGGUGAAAUACCGCCCUUUAUUUGUUUGAAUUCUAAUCCGUCUAAGACGGAGACAUUGUAUGGUGGGUAGUUUGACUGGGGUGGUCGCCUCCAAAAAAGUAUCGGAGGCUUUCAAAGGUGUUCUCAGCACGCUUGGUAACCGUGCGUAGAGUGCAAUAGCAUAAGAACGCUUGACUGUAAGGCCUACAAGCCGAGCAGGUACGAAAGUAGGAUAUAGUGAUCCGGUGGUUCCGUAUGGAAGGGCCAUCGCUCAUAGGAUAAAAGGUACGCUAGGGAUAACAGGCUGAUCUCCCCCAAGAGAUCAUAUCGACGGGGAGGUUUGGCACCUCGAUGUCGGCUCAUCACAUCCUGGGGCUGGAGAAGGUCCCAAGGGUUGGGCUGUUCGCCCAUUAAAGUGGUACGUGAGCUGGGUUCAGAACGUCGUGAGACAGUUCGGUCCCUAUCUGUUGUGGGCGUUAGAAAUUUGAGAGGAUCUGACUUUAGUACGAGAGGACCGAGUUGGACAAACCUCUGGUGUAUCUGUUGUUCCGCCAGGAGCAUUGCAGAGUAGCUAAGUUUGGAUAAGAUAAGCGCUGAAAGCAUCUAAGCGCGAAACUUGCCUCAAGAUGAGAUUUCUUUAUAAGGGUCGUAGAAGAUUACUACGUUGAUAGGCUACAGAUGUAAGUAUAGUAAUAUAUGUGUCGAGUAGUACUAAUUACCCGUAGACUUACCAUU
RNAcentral lists this ribosomal RNA (2785 nucleotides) under Bacteroidota bacterium. RNAcentral describes it as "23S ribosomal RNA". It matches the Rfam family "Bacterial large subunit ribosomal RNA". The record is from RNAcentral. Lineage: Bacteria; Pseudomonadati; Bacteroidota.